GCGGGGCUGCGCGAUGACGCCAGCGAGGGCGCGGCUCGCGGCUGUGGCCAUGUGCGUCUGCGUGCGCAGCCGGCAGCCAUGGGCGGCGGGUCCUCCGUUGUGUGUGCUGCGGCGCUCACCGUUUCUGCAUCGGCCGCCAUCAGGGACCGGGAGCCAUGCCGGGCUUUCCCGAGGCCAGGUGGCAGUCGAGGCCAGGUGGAUGGCCCCGCAGCGUGGAAGGGCUCACCGAGCUCUUCUGGAAGACGUCCCGGUAACGGCAGUUGUGAAAGCCGGCCUCUGCCUGUCUGGAACGGGACCCUCAUCUCCCUGAACCAUUAUCGACUUACCUAAUAUGGGUACAGUCGACCUAAUAGACGGCAGUCCACAUCCAUCUCAGAAUUGUUCUCCAGCCUCGAAAAUGCAUCUUGAGAAGAAUAAGGAAGAAAGGCCAUUGUUUUUGUUGUUUAGGUACGUAUGUUACGUAGAUUAUUUCUGUUGUCGUCGUGAGAGUUUAAGGAACGCUAUUCUAAAAUUAGUGUCAGCUUUAAAUAAGAUGGCCUCUUCCAGAAAGUCUUCCUUACUUCCUCAGCCAAUGUAGAGGUUAUCUGGUGCCUCUGGAGCCAAACUCCGUAACCUUAAUUCAAUUUCAGGACUAGUUCUCUCCAGAGUUCUCAAGAGACUUGGGUUGGGGAGACUGCACUGUGGGUUGUGCGGGAUUUGAGUGAUGCCUUUAGCAAGCCUCCAGCGUGCUUGGGUCUGCGGUGACCCUGUGCAUUCCUACAGCGCUUGCCAGAACAAUUUUGAAGUGGUUUGAGGCCUUGCCCUGCUCUCUCCAGAGCAAGGUUAUAGAAAUUUCAGACAAUAUGGCAGAGGGCCUGCCACGUGGGUAAACUACAUGUGGAGAGAAUGGAAUUUACAGUGAUGCGCUUCCUUGUUUGUAAUUUGCUGUGGUGGAAAAGAUUUGCCCAGGAUGUAGAGGUGAAUAAGUCAUCGAAUUUUCUUUGUGUGUGUUUAGUUUUUUGUUUUUGUUUUUUUUUUUCAUGUCAGGGGUCUAACUGUGGGCCCUGGAUGGCUUUGAAUGCAGAGAUCUGCCCACCACUGCCUCCCAAAUGCAGGGACAAAAGGUGUAUGCCACCAUGCUAGGCGCUCAUUUCAAGUCUUUAACUCUAUUUCUUUUGUAUGCAUGUCUGUGUGGGUGGGCCCAUGGAUGGCACAGCACACAGAGGUCAGAAAGCAACUCACAGGAGUGGGUCCUGAAGGUCAAGCUCGUGUAGGUUUGGCGGUGACUGUGUCUUCAUUACCAAGUGAGGUGGUUGUAUGCGUAGGGGUUUACUAGCAGGAAGUGUCAAGUUGAAAUGUGAUAAGCAUCUCUGGCCCUACAGCCUGCCCUGUUUUCUGGGUGUCAGUCAUGAGAGCAGAAUCUAGACGAUGGGAAGCAUGGGUGAAGGGGAAUGCCCUGUUCUUGCUGUGGUGGCUGUGGAGUUGCCAGCUUCGUGUUAGGCGUGUGGCUCACUGACUAUUUCCUUCAGUCUAGGCAGGCCAAGAUGCCCAAGCUAGAAGAGACCUGACGCUUCGGAGUAACCUUCUCAGCCUAUUUCAUGGAACUUCUGUGGGAUGCAAGAAGGUACUUGCGGGUUUUUGUUUCUGUUUUGAGGUAGAGACUCUAGUGAGUUAGGUUGGCCUUAACGUUGCUGUGUAGCCAAAGAUAGCUUUGAACUUGUGAUCUCACGCGUCCAACUUCCUAGAGUUUUGAGUUGUGAUCUUCUUCCAAGAAGCCCAGGAUUCACUUCUGUUGGAAUCAGUCAUCUGGCUAAGCAAGAGAAAACGUGUAACAAGUAGCUGGGCGCAGUGGCACACACCAGUAAUCCCAGCGCUCAGGGAGGCAGAGGCAGGCAGAGCUCUUGAGUUGGAGACCAGCUUGGUCUACAAACUGAGUCCAGGACAAGCAAGGAUACAUAGAGGAAACCCUGUCUCUAUUAACGUGCACCCCCCCCCAAAAAAAAAAGAACAAGAGAUCUGUGACCUUUCCAUGUUAGAAGCCAUGUGAUUGAAUCAGAAACUUUAGCUGUGUUGAAAUGUAUAGAACUAUUUUGAAACAGCUAGUGUUUGGGCCCUGAUUCUUGCCUCAGCUUAUGAGGUCAUGAUAGGUCUAGUAUGGGUGUGGGCUGCUGCCGAAUGUGGCCACAGGCCUAUUGGCUAACUGAGGGUGCAUCCAGAAGUCAGAAACUUGGCUUUGUUAUUGGCCCCACAAGGCAGUGGGCAUUUAUAAUAGCCUUUAGUCUGGUGGUGUUACCUUACUUUAACAGCAUAACUUGAUGUUUCUAAUCUGCAGAUGAGGAAGUGAGACUCCAGCCACGUCGAAAAACAGAAUCAGGUUUGGAGCCUGCUCUUCACCUCCCACCUAGAGUGAAUCAGCAGUUUCUGCUCUUGGUCCAAGCUGCUGCAUCUCAGGACCAGUGCGGUGUCUGGUAGGCAUCCUCCUCCCAGACACAGGAACGUGGCUGUGCCUGAGGUUUUUUUGACGCCUGAAUAUAAUAAACCGUGGAUGUCUCAGCUAGCUAGAGGGAAA
Molecule: long non-coding RNA, 2548 nt
Organism: Meriones unguiculatus (Mongolian gerbil)
Lineage: Eukaryota; Metazoa; Chordata; Mammalia; Rodentia; Muridae
Source: Ensembl